Molecule: long non-coding RNA, 6316 nt
Organism: Acinonyx jubatus (cheetah)
Lineage: Eukaryota; Metazoa; Chordata; Mammalia; Carnivora; Felidae
Exons: 3
Source: RefSeq, a predicted model, not a curated record
GGGGGGGGGGGGGGGCGGGGAACUAUUCUAACUCCCUAGCAGACCAGUGGGCAGGGGCAGGAGGAAGCCACCUGGAUCUCAUCAGGUGCCUGUUUCAGGUGACUUGUGUGCUCAGGCCAGCCUUCGGUCACCCACAGCACAUGGAAUUGGGAAGCUGGGAUGUGAUCUGUCUCCAAGCCCUCCAGCCCUCCGGGAGGAGAGGGCCCUGAGUUUGCCCUGCAAGUCACUGGUCCAGACGGUGGCUAACACGGAAGCAUUUUUGCAUCUGGGCGAAAAGUCCAAGAGUGACAGCGGCUGUUUCAGUGCUGCGGCACUUUCCUCAGCCCUGUUUGGUUUUCUCAACAAUCCCACUCAGUUGGUUUAAUUACUGCCAGUGUUUCCCAAAUAAGAGUCGUCCAGGGGUUCCUAACAGGCAUGAGGUCAUGCCAGGUAAGUGGGGAAGCCAGGACUUGCCCCCUGCCCCUGCCUCUGCACUCCGAGCACCAAGCUCCACGGUGUUCCAGCCUCUGCUGGGACCUGGGCCCCACCCCAGCGGCCCGCCCCGCCUCGCCCCGCCCGGCAGCUGGCAGCUGGCCGCUGGCCGGGCGGGCUUUCCUGGACUCUGCUGUCUGCUCCUGAUCCAACAGGUACAGCCCGGAGUCCCUGCCCAGCACCCGGCCCUGGGCCCCAGGCUGUGGAAUGUAAGAGAAGCAUCCAACAGCCCGCCCUCCCAAUUUCCUGCCGGCUGGGGCAGUGCCGCUUGGGUGAGAGGGGCGGCGGAGGCACCGGCUGCCUCCGCACCCUCGCCCUGCGGUGCCCCCGCCGCUCACUCAGGCUUUGCUCCCCUCGGGGCUCGCGGGGCCUCUGCCUUUCGUCCGGCCCUCUGUUUUCUGUUUCGCCCUGGCAGGUUCCAUCUGGCACUUAGAUCUUAUAAAUAGCCGCAGCUAGGGUGUGACUCGGGUGGAGACGUGGAGCUGGUACUCCACCCUGAAGGGGAAAAAAGCUCAUUUAAUUCAUUUCUGCACUUGGAAGCCUCUCCCUUUUCGAACGCCAAUUAGGCGGCAGCUGCUGGGGACUUUUUUCCUCUGCUUAUCCCAAGAUGGCCGUCUGAUUUUCGGCGCCUGUUGACUUAAGCUCUUCCAGGAGGUUGGGUGGGGCGGGCGUGGUAGGACCCCGGCCGCUCUGAAGGGGGCUGGCCGAGUUUUGCUGACUUUCCGCGAGAGCCUGUGGGUGGGAGCGGGUGAGGUUCCACAGAGGACCCAGCCCUCGUCUGUUUCUUCCAGGACGCUGGGGUUUGGGGUUUCAGAGUCUGGUUUUUCUUUGUUUCCGGAGAGUCCAUUCCAGCGUCUAUUAAACAAGAAUAAGAAGGAAAGAUUCGAAGCAAUAUCCCAAUACUCUUUAGAUUCUAUCAACUGUGAGACACUAUGGAUUUUCAAAGCCGGCUGACUGCCUUUCAUGCCUCUGAACUCCGCCCUUCCUUGGCAUGACGGAGAAGGAAAACGAACUCAAGACCCACCCAGUACAGCAUCUUAAAUCUAAUCAGGUCCGCAAACAAGCGAAUUAUUUGAACUCAACGCAUCCCAAGUUGCAAAAGUGGGCCAAGUCGCUUGGCUCCUAGGACUACAGCUUUGCCUCCUUCAGGAGCUAGACAGCUGAUGCUCAGGAGAAUUGCAGGUAUGCGCCAGACCCCGGGAAGAAGCACACCCUCCUGUGUAAUGCGAAGGCCGCGGUCCGGACUUCAUCCUCCCCGGGUCUCAGGGGCCAGCUUGGAAGCCACAUGUUCUGGAUGGUAGGGCUAUUAGAGCGUAUGGACUCUGCUCAUUUUGGGCCUCAAAGGACUGUGUAGAGCAGAGCCUUGCCUAUUAUUCCUCCUACCCACCCCCGAACCAGCUGACCGGCCUUGGACGUGACUCAAGUGAAAAAUAAAUCUUAGUUAUAUUUAGCUACCAAGGCUUCAGGGUCAUUUUGUUACCAUGGCAUAACUUAGGCCAUCCUGACUCAUGCAAGGGGUUCCCUCCGCCUGGAAAAGUCUUACUGAUCCUUCUAGCCCGAUGCUGUUCUCUUUUGUGAAACUGAUCUGACCCAUUGCCCCUGCAUCUUGUCUAUAAUGCCAACGUGGUCCUUAUCACCUGUUAUCACAAUCAUUCAAUACCCAGUGAAUCAUGAAAUAGUAGAUGGUGUGUGCCUCGAGGGCAGGGUCUGUGUGCUGGUCAGCUGUCAGGUUUUUAUCUCCAGCACCCCACAGGGUGUUGGGCAUAAAGGAGGUACCCAAUCCAAUAAAUAAUGAAUGAAUGAAUGAAUGAAUGACCUGACUGCAUGUAAUCUGUCAGUAGAGAGUGAUGGGGAAGGCCUCAAGGAACAUGAAAACACCGUGUGGGACUCCGUGGCCUGGAGACAUGAGGAGUCAGUGACUGCAAUUUUGAGCUCAUGCCAUGUUCAGAGCAACAUGGCCUCUAUGAUAUAUAUCCCUGAGGCUUCAGUGAGUGAAAGGAUUACAGACGAUAAAACUAUCGUGUGCAAUCAGGAAGUUUAAAAGGGAGUCCAAAAAGUACUUUUAACUCAUGAGCAAGUACACUAGAGUGGAAUAAAAAUGCGCUUUCUUAUUGGCAGAAAGUGAUGAUUUAGGGGGUGCCCCAGGUGGCUCAGUUGGUGGAGCAGCCGACUUCGGCUCAGGUCAUGAUCUCGCAGUUUGUGAGUUCGAGCCCUGCAUGGGGAGGAUCGCGGCUGUUGGUGGAGAGCCCGCUUCAGAGCCUCUGUCUCCCUCUGUCUCUCAAAAAUAAAUAAACAUUUUUUUUUUUUAAAAAGAAAGUGACGAUUUAGGAAAUAGCAUUGCAUGUUUUUGACACAGCCAGAAUGACUGUCAAAUUAAAAUCGUGUAUAACUGGCUCACUGGAAGAGCAUGAAACAGGGAUUGUGAACCAAAUGGAACUCUUCCCCUCUUUCUCUCUCUCUCCAUCUGUCUAUCAUCUCUCGCCCCUGGGAGCAGUAGGGGCAGAUCCAAGUUUUGUGGGGGCCCCCAUUGUCUCCUUCAAUUUUAUUCGAUGGCGGCAGCAGCCCUCUCCCUCCAAUGAUGACUUGGGCCAGUGAACUUGCUGUCGUGCUCAGAUAAUACAAUACUCCUUUGAGUUGCAAAGAAGUAGCCUGCCUUUGGACCUUAACAUUCUAAGUCCCAGGUAAUAGUUAAAACUCUGAAACUGAUUUAGCCUGAAAUCUUUUCUUCUCCCUUGGCUCAGACCCGCCUCAUCCUGGAAGCCUGCCCUGGGAAAGGGGGCAUGGCCCUUCUCCUCGCCUCCCCCUCUGCUCACCUCCUCCCCCUUGCUAGCUGCUGCUUCCCUCCGUGCUUGGAAUGAAGCCCAGAAAGGGGAGAGGUAAGGGAAUAAGAUCGUUCUCACGUGGCUGGGUGGCCUAAGCCCUUUGGGCCGGCAGCUGGCCUCCAUGGGGUGGCCUGGCAGAUGAUUAAAGCUGGCCCUGUCACAGGCUCUGCAGAGGCCUCCAGCUGGGCCCCCCGUCUCCUGUGGUUCCCUUGACCCAGGCUGAAGGUCUCUAUCCCUCUGGGUGGUCUCACAUGACUCCUUCCCCAGCUCCUGGGAUUCCGGAGGUAUAACGGCCAGCCCCUUUCUGCUGAGGUCUUCCGUUCAUGCCUACAGGCCCCAAGACCACCCCACAGUGCCCCACACCUGCGCCCUUUCCCACGGGGACCACAUCUGGUCUUGGGACACUCCCCUUGCUCUGCCACCAAAGUAGUAUCCGCCACUGACGUUUAAAUGUCUCUCACGCCGUUCCGUGUGCUUUAACAUGUGUUAUCUCAGUGAACGCUCAUAACCAUCUACGACAUGGGUAGAUCUGGCAGGCCACGUCCGUGAGUGUUUAUUUAACAACUUCUGCCUUAAGUUCUGCUGUCACAAAACACUGCAGGCACCUUUCAUCUGUCACUGAUUUUGAUUACAGACCUAGGAAUGCAGAGAUUGAGGCUUUCCCUUAGCUUGACUGUAAACUCACCGCGAGUCUCAGGGCCGAUCGGUAAUAUCUCUGGAAUGGACUCAUCAACACCAAGGUUCCUUCUCACCCUAAAAUUCUGUGACUUAAGAACUCAUUCUAGGAUAAGGAAUUGCAUGUAGGUGUUCAGGGUAGGAGGUAAGAAAAGGCUAGUUGGGACCUAGGGCAUGGAGAAGCCUGGACAGUGUGGAUACAAGUAGCCCUGAAAAGUCUCGAGCAUAUUUAAGUUCUGACAAAAUGAUCAUUAAAAUGUCUCAAGACCUAGGUGUCUAUUGUUUCUUUUACAAUCCUAAUGAGAGAUCUCAGUAAAAAGAGAGGUUUUCACUCUUGGUUUUGGCUCAGGUCCUGAUCUCAUGGUUUGUGAGAUCGAGCCCCACGUCGGGCUCUGUGCACUGACAGUGAGGAGCCUGCUUGGGAUUCUGUCUCCCUCCCUCUCUGCCUUCCUCCCCUUGUGCUCCCUUUCUCUCUCUCAAAUAAAUCAAUAAACUUAGAGAAAAACAAUUUUAAGAAAAGACUAUAAAACUCAGUAUGAAAAUGAAUAUUGAUUUGGAAUGAAAAGAAAAAUUCCCCGGAAGUCUCCUCAUUAGCUUUAUAGUGAAUCUGCUUCAAAGCGAAGGCGGCUUGGUCUGUCUUGUUCAAAGCUGUGUCCUCUGGACUUAGAACAGUGUCCGGCACAUAGUAGGUGCUCAAGAAAUACUUGUAGAAUCAAAGGGUGAUUGACACUAGAGAACUGGUUAAAGGAGAGAGCAAGAAGAGGUAGGAAGCGUUUCCGUAACUUGCCCCUAAACGCAAUCAGUAAUCACGAGAACUGGAUUUGAACGUGGGUGUCUCUCCCCUCCUCUCUGGGUUGGUGACUGCACAGCUAGACUCUGUCCCCAGCCUCCCUUGCAGUCGGGGUGAUGUGACCAUAUGACAAAAUUCUUGCAAGUUAAAGGUGAGCAGACAUCAAGGUGCUACGUUGUGGCUUGAGCCUUAAGAUGAUGGGUACGCCUCCUCCCCACACCCCCUUUCUACCUGCUGGCUAAAAUCUGGAUAUGGGGCUGAUUCGGUUUGACAAGAACACGGAGGGGUUGGCAGAGUCACCACUUGGAAAAAACCAUGGUUCCCGAAUGAUCACAAAGAAACAGAGCUCCUCCAGUGACCUGCACAGUUCACAUCAGGAUUGUGCCUUGACGGACAAAUAACCCUCUUUGUUCUGUAAGCCACGGUGUUUUGAGACCUCUCCGUUUCAGCGUCACACUCGUACCAUUUUUCGAACGCAGGCCCUUGGCAUCACACUGUACUUUCUCCGAGCAACACUGCCAGAAACGGGGAGAGGGGUUCAUUUGCAGUCUGCCUGACAGACGCCUUGUGUUUUUCUCGUGGCUGUCCCUCACGCUUCCUUCCCUGGGAAUGAAUAUAACCGUGGCCAGCUAUGCGUCCGGUACUGUCCUGAGAACCUUCCACGAAAAGACUUGUAGUGCAGACAGUACUAUGAUGUCCAUUUUACAGCUGAGGAAACUGAGGUGCAGAGAGGUUAAGCAACACAGCUAGGGAGAGAGCUGGGAUUUGGACCCGUGCGGGUCGCUUCCACUGCUUACGCGGCCAGUCGCCUUGGCAUGUUCUUCUGACCCCCUUGCUUCAUUUCUUUUGCUGUCCUCCCGUCCUUCAGAUCCAUUCAAUUCUCCCAUUGUGAGUAGGCCAACAGAAACACCAGCUGGCCAUAAAUAAAAAGAAGUUUCUGCCUCUUUCUCUCGGUCAGCGAUUCCACGUUUUACAUCUCUUUGGUGUCUUCAUACAGUGUUGGGAACUCUUGGGUCUGGGGAGUGCCAUCAGCCAGCAUUACAUCAGGCACACCAGGCACAGUGAAGAGAGCCCCGAAUCAGAAGCUGGAGUUUCCAUGUCUUGGCCUGGCUCUGCCGUGGCUUUGUGCGCAGCCUUGACCGUGGCACUCCUCUCCGUAAAGUGACAGGCAUGGACGGUCUCUAAGGUUCCUCAUUGCUCUGAAAUCCAUAACCUGUGAGUCUUUCCUUCCUUGGUCCACCGUCUGUCCUCUGGCAGUGUCGGUCCAUUUGCAGAAGACCAGGGAGCAGGGAGCAGCGCUGUAUUUGAGAUCUUGAAGGACACCUCGUGGUGCCACUGGAGUCGGAGACGCAAAAGGAAAAGAUGAGGGUAAGUCGGACUCUGUCAGUUUCCUGGCAGUCCAGCCCUCACCAGGCUCAAAGGUCUCCCGCGUACACAGGUGCAAAUGAAAUAAUAUUCGAGAGUAAGAAUGGGGACAAGGAAGCUUCCAGGCUUGGAGAGGGAACAUGAACCCACUGACCAGUGAAAUGAUCCCCAGAUCAUUCCAGAAUCCCAGUUU